GCCUUAAUGGUGUAAUGGUCAGCACGCUCGACGCGUAACCGAGAGGUCCGUGGUUCGAUUCCCGGCGAAGGCG
This 73-nucleotide transfer RNA is filed under the name Stegodyphus mimosarum. It matches the Rfam family "tRNA". From Rfam's summary of the family: Transfer RNA (tRNA) molecules are approximately 80 nucleotides in length. Their secondary structure includes four short double-helical elements and three loops (D, anti-codon, and T loops). Lineage: Eukaryota; Metazoa; Arthropoda; Arachnida; Araneae; Eresidae. The record is from Rfam by way of RNAcentral.